This 301-nucleotide ribosomal RNA is filed under the name uncultured bacterium. RNAcentral describes it as "partial 16S ribosomal RNA". It matches the Rfam family "Bacterial small subunit ribosomal RNA", at positions 509 to 807 of the family's 1533-position model. The record is from RNAcentral.
CAGUAGCCACGGUAAUACGUAGGUGGCAAGCGUUGUCCGGAAUUAUUGGGUGUAAAGGGCUCGCAGGCGGUUUCUUAAGUCUGAUGUGAAAGCCCCCGGCUCAACCGGGGAGGGUCAUUGGAAACUGGGAAACUUGAGUGCAGAAGAGGAGAGUGGAAUUCCACGUGUAGCGGUGAAACGCGUAGAGAUGUGGAGGAACACCAGUGGCGAAGGCGACUCUCUGGUCUGUAACUGACGCUGAGGAGCGAAAGCGUGGGGAGCGAACAGGAUUAGAUACCCCCGUAGUCCCUGUCUCUUAUAC